Molecule: ribosomal RNA, 648 nt
Filed under: Acinetobacter sp.
Lineage: Bacteria; Pseudomonadati; Pseudomonadota; Gammaproteobacteria; Moraxellales; Moraxellaceae
Also listed under: 1 other name
Description: bacterial SSU rRNA
Rfam family: Bacterial small subunit ribosomal RNA
Source: RNAcentral
CGGGAAUCAGAGAGCGGCGUACGGGUGCGGAACACGUGUGCAACCUGCCUUUAUCUGGGGGAUAGCCUUUCGAAAGGAAGAUUAAUACCCCAUAAUAUAUUGAGUGGCAUCACUUAAUAUUGAAAACUCCGGUGGAUAGAGAUGGGCACGCGCAAGAUUAGAUAGUUGGUGGGGUAACGGCCUACCAAGUCGAUGAUCUUUAGGGGGCCUGAGAGGGUGAUCCCCCACACUGGUACUGAGACACGGACCAGACUCCUACGGGAGGCAGCAGUGAGGAAUAUUGGACAAUGGGUGCAAGCCUGAUCCAGCCAUCCCGCGUGAAGGACGACGGCCCUAUGGGUUGUAAACUUCUUUUGUACAGGGAUAAACCUAGAUACGUGUAUCUAGCUGAAGGUACUGUACGAAUAAGCACCGGCUAACUCCGUGCCAGCAGCCGCGGUAAUACGGAGGGUGCAAGCGUUAUCCGGAUUUAUUGGGUUUAAAGGGUCCGUAGGCGGAUCAGUAAGUCAGUGGUGAAAUCUCAUAGCUUAACUAUGAAACUGCCAUUGAUACUGCUGGUCUUGAGUAAGGUAGAAGUAGCUGGAAUAAGUAGUGUAGCGGUGAAAUGCAUAGAUAUUACUUAGAACACCAAUUGCGAAGGCAGGUUAC